Molecule: non-coding RNA, 460 nt
Organism: Camellia sinensis
Lineage: Eukaryota; Viridiplantae; Streptophyta; Magnoliopsida; Ericales; Theaceae
Source: RefSeq, a predicted model, not a curated record
UGAGUUCCUACAAAUAAAUUUGUGUAUUCUACAAUCCAAGACAGGUAGGAACCCUUUAAGUCCAACCCUUCCCACUCCCAUCAGACAUGAAACAAUUCCCCAGGGAAAGCUUUGGUUUCUCCAAUUGAGAGAUAUGCAGUUGUUCCUGAUGACAACGUCAAAAGGAUAAAUUUUGCCGAGGGGAAGAUCUGAUUCUAGAAGUAAGGAAUUUGCAGCUUGAUUUUUGAAAUAGGCUCAAAAUUGAGAUCUUGUUGGAAAUUUUUUAUUUUUUUUAUUUUUUGUAAGAGCAUUUAAAUAUCCAAUGUGCUGAUUGGUGAAUUUUAGAUUUUAUUUUAUUAUUUUAUUUUUUUUUUAGGAUUUGGGUGAAUUUUAUAAUUUAAAUAUGCUGUUAUGAACAUGUACAAUUUAAUUAUUCUUUGUAAAAUAUUAAAUUUGAUGGUUUGAUCAAUUUUUAUUUUUA